AUGUCCCUUGCUCACAAAUAUCUCUACUUCCACAAGAGUGACGACACUCUUCUCCGCUUUGUCUUUACAGAUCUGUCGUUGAGAGCGCUUGGAUUUUCCACAGGUCCUUCUCCCCAGAUAGCUGGUCAUGUUGGUAUGUGCAACUUGACCAGAAAAGCAGGAAACAGCAGAGGGAAGAGGAAGAGAAAGCCUCUCAUUAAGAAACAUCUUUUACCCACACGCUGAUCGCAAACACCGACCCUGGGAUUUGCAAAGCCUGGACUACUUGAGUAAGAACUUUUUACUGGAAUCAAAGGACAGAGCUUCAGGAAAGAACAUGGGUUUAGAGUCAGACAGCCCUGGGUUCAUUCCCCUCCCGGUUCCCACAUUUCCUAGCUAUGUGUCCUUGGGUAACUUAGCUCUUCUGGGCAGAUUGCCCAUCUGUGAAAAACAGGACUAAUGCUUGCCUCAUGGGUUACAUGAGCAUUAUAGAAAAUGUGUGUGAGUACUUAGCAUCGAGCCUAGCAAGUAGCAGGUAUUCAUAAAGUGUUAGCUGACACUGGAGCGGCCAUCAGAGUAGUAAAACAUCUAACAGAGUGCCUGACACAUAGGAAAACUACUCCAUUACUAUUUUUCAUGUGCCUUCUCCUAGGCUCAAACGCCCCAGGCUUCCUGCAACCAAAGAGUCUGGGGCCCUUGGUUCUGGGGUUAGCUGUGUCUCUUACAGGCUCUGUGACCUUGAGAGUAGUCACGUUACCUCUCUGGACUCCGGCUUUCUCCUCUCUCAAGAAGGUGAGCUAAAAGGAAGCUGCUGCAACUCCCCUUAGGACACAGUAGGGUGUCAGUUCACACGCACUGAAUGGAGAGAGACCUGUGUCCCAUUUCGUGGUCUCUGGAACCCAAUAGGCAAGAACGGUUUCCUGCAAACUGAUGGGGUCAACAGGAUUUGGCAGAACCUCCCCCUCCCCAGUGGUUAUGGCAGGCCCCUAAUUUUCCCGCGCUGGUCUCUAACCACUGAAGAAGGGGUGACCCGACAGUGAACUUGGUUGAAAUGAAUUAUGACUCAGUUACCAAAAAAAAAAAAAAAAGAAAGAAAGAAAAAAACAGCACUUGAGACAUAGUUGGGAGGCAGGCAGGAGACAUUCCAACCAAAAAAUAGAAAGCAAAAGAGGGUGAGAGCUUUUAAACAUAUAUAUUAAAAGCAUUUACAGCGAGCAAAUGGAUUUUUUAAGUCCAAAGUGAUUUU
This 1225-nucleotide long non-coding RNA is filed under the name Felis catus (domestic cat). RNAcentral describes it as "lncRNA (ENSFCAG00000046996.1)". Lineage: Eukaryota; Metazoa; Chordata; Mammalia; Carnivora; Felidae. The record is from RNAcentral.